GUACCCGAGGCCGGGCCGGAGCCGCAGGCCAGCCGCGAUUCCUUCGGGCGAUGCUGGGGGCUUUCCGGUCGGGGCCGCAGCCGCUUCCGGAGCCGCGGGCGAGUCGAUUCACCAUGAUCUUGGCUGGCUGUCUUCUUCCUUCAUGGCUGCUAGUAAUGACAAUUCAGUGGCUGUUUCUUCAGCUGUGCAAAGUUGGAACAUGUUUGGGAGUUCAACGGCAUUGGUUUCUGGUUGGUGCAAGCGGUCUUCUCUGUCUUCUUUAUGGCCAGUAAAAUUCUCCAGAAGAGAUUUAUGGCAGCCUCACUCCCAGUAGUUUCUGCAUUUAGUGAGAUAAGGAAUGGAUUUUCUUCUGUGUAUUGCUGACACGAACAGGAGACGGAAAUACUGAGUAGAAGAGGGCGGUUCCCUGGCUAAGGCCCCACCCUCAAGCCUGGAUACCCGCGGCCCUAAAUGAGAAGAGGCGUUUCUGUUUGGGGCCCAAAAAGUUGCUUUUUGACCCACCACGCCCCCUAUCCUGCCCCCAUAUAAACCCCAAACCCCAACCUCCAGAGCAUACCAGCAGGUGAGGAGAUACGAGGCAAGCCGACUGAC
Molecule: long non-coding RNA, 591 nt
Filed under: Homo sapiens (human)
Lineage: Eukaryota; Metazoa; Chordata; Mammalia; Primates; Hominidae
Description: non-protein coding LINC01184:46
Source: RNAcentral